CGCAGCGACGCUAGUGCGCAGAGUGGCGUCGUCUGAACGGGUCGGGGUGGCUGUGGCACCAGCCGAGGGGAGAGGAAAGGAGGAGAUAGGGAGAGUAGGAGAGAGACAUGGCCUCACCACAGAUACUGGCGACGUUUGUGAUUGUGGUGGUGGUGACAUUGGUGCAUCAGACUGACGGGCAAAGACGGAUUAUAUCAUUUACUGGUCGGGCCGGACAACCAUGUGUGACAUCUAGCGGCUUCCUCGGAAGCUGCGUUUCGGCGAGCAGCUGCCGUAUAGAUGGCGCCACCUCUGACGGCUGCCCGCGCUCUACAGUCUGCUGUCUUCGUGUAAGCAGUACCUCCAACGCGAGGACACCACGACCGACAGCUCAGCCGGUCGUGAUCCGUCCGCCGCCGGUCCAGCGCCCCCUCUGCACCUAUCGAGUGCCCGUGACGCCAUCGGCUUAUAGCGUGGGACUGCUGGCCAGGGCUGGACGGACACGGCGAAGCCCUCAGCUGUCGAGCGCGCUGAGUCGUCGCCUACGGCAGCAGGCCAAGCUCCGUCGCAAAACCACUCAGAAACAACCGAAAAGGCAGACGAACAAACCCAAUCCCCUGCCACAUCUGCAUCAUAGUCGAAAACCUACACCCAAGCUUCUUAAAACGCGGCCGAAAAAAGUCCGUCCCGACUUUCCGUUCCGGCUUCCUUUCACACAUUCAGUAGCACAGUUACCUACGAGCGUGUUACCAAGUAAACCAAGCGCUAUCGACACAAUCAUCUUUAUGCAGCCUGAUGCUUUUGUCGGUGGAACUAAUGUAAGGGACGGGGGGAGUCAGGGCGUUGGCCUCAUCGGUUCUGGACUUGCACACUUACAAGUUGACGUGAACGAAGUUCUUCUUGAGAUCAAGAAGAAACAAAAACGUCCCGUGGCUCCUCCAAGGCAGCCUGUAGCUACCAACCGACCCGUGAUUACAGACCAACGCAUUGUGUUCCCCAGCCGACCCCCGCCAGUCCAGUACCGGACCUACAUAGCUCCCUGCUAACUGAGCAAGGUGGUAGUGUAUCCUGGGAUGGUAGCGCCGCGUUCACUUAUUGUCCGCAAUAUACCUAUUACCUACAUACGACUCAUGCUUAUGCACAUCGUGAUGUACCACGAUGUCACGACUAUACAUAGCACUGUGUGCUCGGCUAGAUCUUAACUACGCGUAACAGUACACCAACUGAGAAACUCGUUUAAAAUUCAGCUAGGUACGCUUUUUGAGUUGUGUGCAACUCGACUCAUUCAUGUUAUGGAGGUCGUGACGGACUCGGUCUGUGAAUAGGUACGUACGAUCGGCGUAAGGUAGUGUGUUUGUCUGUGUGACUGUAGAUUGUAGAACAAUGCGCAUCUUGCUUUUGUUGUAUAUCGCAUGUAUCAUGGUGGGAUAAUUAAAGAGUGUUGGAUACAAUUUAGCAUGAAGUAAUGUUAACAUUAUGAUAAUGAUACCUUACUUAUCUCCUAGUUUUGCACUGAAAUCAUUUGUGAUAGGGAAAAUUUCAAUGUGACAUUCAUUCAAAAGAACACAAGCUGGUCAGUGCAUUGCCAGCAAAAAUUUAUGUAGUCGUUUCAUUUACGGGUAUUUACCGGUCAUUUAUAUUUAUCUAACUGUGACAGCUAGGCUGCAAGAGCCAACGGAUAUCAAAGUUUCUUUUCCUUGACAUUCCUAAUUUCCUUGGCAAUUAUUUGCUGCGCAACACUGUUUGAACAUAGGAACAAAUCGGUCAAGAAAACUUUGAAAGGUCAUAGCAGCGAACCUGGCUAGUCAUGUGAUAAAAAAAAUCGGGCAGAACGCUGGGAAGUUAUGCUUACGCCUUAUAAUUGUGAAUUAGGUUUAAUUUAGAUGAAAAUGGGAUUCACUGACCGGGCAAUGCUCACCGAUCCAUAGCAUAUGAGGCCAUCGCCGCGUUCAGUGAGCCUGUGGCCCGACACAGGGCUAGACCUUUGACCUGACCUUAAAGCGACCUUAAAGUGACCGACGUAAUUUCGUCAUUACUUUUUACGUACGCUCUCUUGAACAUUGCCGCCUAUUGCGUUUCGCUACGUGGCCCAGGAGCCGAGUUAGAAGGGAAGUGUUCAAACACCUCCCUCCCCCAGCAGGGCGUGGAAAUCCAGGACGGCCCCAGUGGGGCGCGGGUUAGAUUGGUUGUUAUUUGUUAAAAUUAUGUUUUAUUUGUUAACGUGACACCGCUUUUCGCCUUGAGAUAGAUGAUAAUGGAUGAUAUGCUACCAAGACGUUCGAUCACGAUGAAAUACGAAUGCUGUAUAAUAAAUACUUGUGCCGGUGAUAAAACAGAA
RNAcentral lists this long non-coding RNA (2317 nucleotides) under Amphibalanus amphitrite. Its description in RNAcentral is "uncharacterized LOC122369130". Lineage: Eukaryota; Metazoa; Arthropoda; Thecostraca; Balanomorpha; Balanidae. The record is from RNAcentral.